Limulus polyphemus (Atlantic horseshoe crab) is the source of this 2091-nucleotide long non-coding RNA. RefSeq lists it as uncharacterized. The transcript is spliced from 2 exons. NCBI's taxonomy places the organism in Eukaryota, Metazoa, Arthropoda, Merostomata, Xiphosura, Limulidae. The record is from RefSeq and is a predicted model, not a curated record.
AAAAAUGUUCUGACUCAGAAGAGAAAUUAUCGUAUCUUCUUUCACCUGUUAUUGUAAAUGCUUGGAUUGGAAUGAAAGUAACAUACUUACAUUUAUAAGUAAAAUGGCUUGUCUGAGAACAGAAAUGGUUUAUUUCUGUUACGUAUAAUAUUAGUAUCAAGAGAAAAUAAGUUAACGCGAUCUUAAAACAUCCCUAUAAGAUAACAUUUCUGUCCCAGGAAUCAUCAUAAUAUACAAGUGUGGUAUUCUCAGAUACACUGAUUUUCCUCUGAACGAGUAGAAUCUGCAAAAACAGGAUAUCUGUAGUAUCGUCGGCAGCCCUUCGGUAAUUGACAAUGACGUAGAGAAGGGGGGAGGGAGGAAUCAUCAAUGCUUGGAUUGUCAACUGUGCUUCCAGCGUUUGUGUGAUCGGAGCCGAAAACUGCUAGCACAUUUCUUUUCACAAAUUUCGCAUUGUACUGUGCGAGGAACUGUAGGCAAGGUGUGUCUCUGAGCACGAUGAUCCUGUGAGACCUUCACCCACUUUUGGUGUGCAACCUCCGAGCCGUCCUUGAUGCAUAUGCACCAUUUGGCGCGAUCGUUGGCUAUGGACUCCUAAUUGGUAUUAGGUGUAUCAUCUGUGAUGAGGUGAUGUUUUAUUACAUCUUUGUAACGCAGCUUUGGUCCAUCUUUCCGCCACUUGCCAGAGGAAAAUUCUCCAUAAAGUAGAGUCUUUGGAAGUCUAUAUUUUGCCACAUGAACCAAUGACCAGCCCGGUACAGUUGUCUUUUAAGAAGUAUGGCUUCUACACGAGGCAUAUCAGCGUGCUUCAAGACCUCCUCAUUAGUGAUUCGGUCCCCUCAAGAUAUAUUCAAGAUCACUCUGAGGUGUCUUAGUUGUACUCUGGACAAUCACUUUAUAUGACAACGAUAGAGUGUAUAUGUCUUCGCUGAAUAUAGUAGGGAGCUCAGUACCAUGACUUGAUAUAAUUUGCACUUGGUUUUUGGUCGUAUGCCACGCUGUUUCCUCUCAUAUAAUCGACCAACUGAGGCAGAUGCCACUUGUAACCUGUGGUCAAGCUCUACAUAAAGGCUGAUGUCGUUAGCAACUGUACUGCCAAGGUAAAUGAACUGGUUAACAACAUUUAGCUUGUCGCCAGAGAGAACAAUUGGCUCGAAAUAGUGAGAGUUAGGUGAUGGGUAAUGGAGGAUUUCGGUCAUUGUGAUGUUAAUUCUUAGCCCGAAAGCAGCGGAUGUUUCCUUUCACCACCAAUGGCCACCCAUCGCUGUAGGACGUCUUCCUCAUUCCUAGCCUUCACUGGUGCUUAAAGUGUAGUAACAGUCGCGAGUUGUAGAUUCACCCUCAGAUUGAGCUUCCGAGGUCCAGUAGAAUGCUAGGACAUGACAGUUGACGGGAGAACAAUCUAGGUUUUAUUUCAGAGUGACCUUCUCCUAUACCAUUGACUGUACAUAGCUAACGACACUGAUCCUGCCAGUUGCAGUUCUCAAAACUAACUAGAUUAUGCCUUCUCUGCUGUGUACUUCACAGAUAGCUCAUUGUGUAGCUUUGUGCUUAACUACAAACAAAGAAACUCUCAGAAGGUUUUAUAAUUUUAUUUUUAUAUUUAAUAUUUUAGUCUAAAUGUAGGCUUACCGUAUAUACCUCAUUCCCCUAAUCUAUAGUGUUUCAAAAUGUCUGAACAAAUGGAGCAUAUGAUAUUGAUAUGGAGAACUUGACACAAAGCCACUAAAAUGUUCCUCUGGGACUAGUGUACUCAUGGAAUAAGGUCAUUCAAUACGUUUAUCACAUGUGCUUUUAUUGUUAAUGAUUUCUGUAACUUAGUACAUACUGUAUAGAAAUUCUUCAACUGAGCCAUCUAUAAGUUUAUAGAUUUAUAUCACUAAAGUACAGGGUACAGUUCCCUGCGGUAGACAGAGCAUAGAUAGACCCCUGAGUAGCAAGGUGCUAAUAAAGCAAGAACAAAAAUCAACAAUAGUAUAGAAAGUGACAUUGAUAUUUUCCUAUGGCAACUAAAACGAUAUACUUAUGAUAUAGCAUUCCUUGCUUCGAAGUGAGAGUGAUUGUCAGUUACGUGGGUGGUACUUGUGCCUU